CUCAUCAGGACAACAAAGUUUUAGGAUUGACAGAUUGAUAGCUCUUUCUUGAUUGACUUAAUGGUGGUGCAUGGCCGUUCUUAGUUGGUGGAGUGAUUUGUCUGGUUAAUUCCGUUAACGAACGAGACCUUAACCUACUAACUAGUACGACGUGACGAACGUUAGUUACUUCUUAGAGGGACAAUGUGUAUUUUUAACACAAGGAAGUUUAAGGCAAUAACAGGUCUGUGAUGCCCUUAGAUGUCCUGAGCCGCACACGCGCUACAAUGACACUUUCAAUAAGUUUUUGCUGGUCCGACAGGAUUUCGGCUAAUCUUUUUAGUAAGUGUCGUGCUAGGGAUAGAUCUUUGCAAUUGUGGAUCUUGAACGAGGAAUUCCUAGUAAGCACAAGUCAUCAGCUUGUGCUGAUUACGUCCCUGC
Molecule: ribosomal RNA, 420 nt
Filed under: uncultured eukaryote
Lineage: Eukaryota
Description: SSU rRNA
Rfam family: Eukaryotic small subunit ribosomal RNA
Source: RNAcentral